CGUAGGAGGCAAGCGUUAUCCGGAUUCACUGGGCGUAAAGCGCGUGCAGGUGGCGCGGUAAGUUAGGCGUGAAAUCUCCCGGCUCAACUGGGAGAGGUCGUCUAAUACUACCGUGCUUGAGAGCAGAAGAGGAAGAUGGAAUUCCCGGUGUAGUGGUGAAAUGCGUAGAUAUCGGGAGGAACACCAGUGGCGAAGGCGAUCUUCUGGUCUGUUUCUGACACUCAGACGCGACAGCUAGGGUAGUAAACGGGAUUAGAGACCCCGGUAAUCCUAGCCGUAAACGAUGUGAACUUGGCGUUGGUGGGUUAAACUCCAUCAGUGCCGUAGCAAACGCGAUAAGUUCACCGCCUGGGGACUACGGCCGCAAGGUUA
Molecule: ribosomal RNA, 372 nt
Filed under: uncultured organism
Description: bacterial SSU rRNA
Rfam family: Bacterial small subunit ribosomal RNA
Source: RNAcentral